UAUCUCUGUAGAGUCUGCAUAUCAAUAAGCGGAGGAAAAGAAACUAACAAGGAUUCCCUUAGUAACGGCGAGUGAAGCGGGAAGAGCUCAAAUUUGAAAUCUUCAAGGUUCUACCUUGACGAAUUGCUAGUUUAAAGAAGUGUUUUCUGUUAGAUGAGUAGCAAAAGUUCCUUGGAAUGGGACAUCAUAGAGGGUGAGAAUCCCGUAUUUGGUUAUUCAUUCUAGCUUUGUGAUACACUUUCAAAGAGUCGGAUUGUUUGGGAAUGCAGUCCAAAAUGGGUGGUAAAUUUCAUCUAAAGCUAAAUAUUGGCGAGAGACCGAUAGCGAACAAGUACCGUGAGGGAAAGAUGAAAAGAACUUUGAAAAGAGAGUUAAACAGUACGUGAAAUUGUCAAAAGGGAAGCGUUUGACACCAGUGUUGUUUUUCCGAAAAUCAAUUACGAAUGGCUUGAUUUUGUGUUGUAUUGACCUUAUCAGCUUUCUUCACUUUUUUCGAGUCUUUCUUAAUGCAGCUUUUCGGUUAACAAGUCAACAUCAAUUUCUUUUGUUGUAAAAGAGUAUUCGGAAGGUGGCUUUCUUUUCGGAGAAAGUGUUUAUAGCCCUAUACUUCUACAAUCGGAGAGAUUGAGGUCUGCAGCGUAGAUCCUUCGGGGUUAGAUACACUUGUGCUAAGUUGUAGCUUUUCAUAGACAACUUGUUGGACUAUGUUUAGUCAUGCGGCUUACUCGCUUGUGCUAUUUUACCUACGCUUAGGAUGUUGACUGAUAUGUAGUCGUA
Molecule: ribosomal RNA, 777 nt
Filed under: uncultured Neocallimastigales
Lineage: Eukaryota; Fungi; Neocallimastigomycota; Neocallimastigomycetes; Neocallimastigales
Description: partial large subunit ribosomal RNA
Rfam family: Eukaryotic large subunit ribosomal RNA
Source: RNAcentral